UACAGAGGUGGCAAGCGUUGUUCGGAAUUACUGGGCGUAAAGAGCGUGUAGGCGGCCAUGCAGGUCCGUUGUGAAAACUCGAGGCUCAACCUCGAGACGCCGGUGGAAACCGUAUGGCUAGAGUCCGGAAGAGGAGAGUGGAAUUCCUGGUGUAGCGGUGAAAUGCGCAGAUAUCAGGAAGAACACCCGUGGCGAAGGCGGCUCUCUGGGACGUGACUGACGCUGAGACGCGAAAGCGUGGGGAGCAAACAGG
RNAcentral lists this ribosomal RNA (253 nucleotides) under uncultured bacterium. RNAcentral describes it as "partial 16S ribosomal RNA". It matches the Rfam family "Bacterial small subunit ribosomal RNA", at positions 524 to 776 of the family's 1533-position model. The record is from RNAcentral.